Molecule: long non-coding RNA, 2630 nt
Filed under: Capsicum annuum
Lineage: Eukaryota; Viridiplantae; Streptophyta; Magnoliopsida; Solanales; Solanaceae
Description: long non-coding RNA (CANN_LNC011123)
Source: RNAcentral
UCAUUGACAUAAGUUGAAGGAAAGUACCUCCGGCUGCAACAUUGUCAUUUCCUUGCCUUCCAGCACCUGGUGCAUUAUCUGCCCUGAUAGCAGCCCUAGGUGGUUGGGGAGGUGCAGCUGCCCUCUGCAUUCCUUGUGAAAGCCACCGUAUCAAAGGUGCAAGAGCUCCAGUUUGAUAUCUACAAUAACCAAUAGGGAAAUAUAUGGUGCCACUUAAUGACAAAGCAAAAAGAAAAGGACAUGUAUUUCAAUGAACACAACAGUAAGUCUUCCCUCGUCAAUUCAACCAACAUACAAAUUAUAUGAUAAAAAGAAAAAAACUAUGAUACAAAAAUAUGGAGGCAUUAUAGCACUAAUUACACUUAUUCAAGUUGGUUACUGUGGUAAGCAAGCAUAUUUAGUGGGGCCAGUAAACCAGAAAAAUGAUGGGAGAAAAGCUAGAGGGUUCAUCUUCAAGACAAUGAUCAUUUCACUUAAGUGAUCCACAAUGGAACAAAGAGAGAAUGGGACACAAAAAGCACCAAAAAUUAAUGCCCAAGAAAGGAAAACAAGGAAAUCGGGAUAAGAUGAACUAUAAAAAGGAAGUGAAGAUCUGAAUGCUAUUUAGGAGAACAAUAACGUAGGGCCAACUUAGCAGAUUUUUUUUCAAAGAAAAAGAGAGCUUUAUUGUUACCUGUUAAAUAUAUCCACAUUCUUGUUCAUAAUAGUUAUGUUACCAGCUAUCUAUGUAUUAAUGUUAUUCCCAAAUUGGUUACCCAAUAAUCUCUACUUUGCAGAACUAGAAGCAUCCAAAAAAUUCUCAAUGGUCACAACAGCUUUCUAAGACCAAAUUUGAUGAUAUUUAAUAAAUAAAUAAAUAAAUAAAAGGAAAAUAAAAGUGAUCAUAAUUGACAUAUACUUACAAAUAGACAAGUGAAGCUAAAAACACCAGCAGAAUAAGCCUUUGUCUUGAUCCAUUUUGAUUGAACAAAAAAAUCACUGCAGCCAACUUCAAAAUUAGCAAGAGAUCUAGCUGAAAUGCAAUUUGAAAUCUUCUGACAACUAUUUGUCGUUGGGGUCCAAGCUGUUGUUGCUGCUGUCCCAUCUGACCUUGCUCCUCACCAACCGCUCCAUUUUCUGGAAUACUAGGUCCACUAUCAAGAACAGCCAAGCUUUUUUCUUUUAGAAAGGAGAGACUAAUAAGACUGCUUCAAUGGAUUUUUAUGGAAGUAACCCUUUUAAGAAAUUAAAAGUACAACUUCCAAUACUUCAGGUGUAAGCACUGAACAUCGGGGCUUCAUGUUUUGUCAGACUAUAGAGGCAUAUGAAGGAAACGAAGGUAUCAAUAACAUGGCAUGCAAUUGAUUGGAUAUAUAACUACUAGUUUCCAGGCGCAAGAGAAGUUUGUAUGGCUUCAUUCCUAAUAUUUUAAGUUAAUGUCAUUUAAACAGAUGAUAAGUACAGCAAUGAUAGGCUUCAUUCCUACUCUUGGAUGAUUCUUCAGGGUUGGAGUAUUCUAGGCCGCGGUAACUUUAGUACUUCAAUUGUCUAGCCAGAGGUGUUAAUCCGCUGGUGCUAUGGGCUUGGCAACUUUUUAAGAAACGGACCAAAAUUGGUUAAACUGCACUUCUACUGAUGUAUCAGAGAAUUCCAUAAAAACCUACAUGUUGCACUCCUGAAUAGAGAUCUUCAGCUUUGAUUAUAAAAGCAUUAAAAUACCAUACAGAAAUGCACAAUUCUUGCUACAUCAAAUAAGGGAGUCAAGAACUACAACGACGGCAGAGUCCCCAUGCACAAAUAGGAUGUUUUUAUCUAUUCAUUGACAUAAGUUGAAGGAAAGUACCUCCGGCUGCAACAUUGUCAUUUCCUUGCCUUCCAGCACCUGGUGCAUUAUCUGCCCUGAUAGCAGCCCUAGGUGGUUGGGGAGGUGCAGCUGCCCUCUGCAUUCCUUGUGAAAGCCACCGUAUCAAAGGUGCAAGAGCUCCAGUUUGAUAUCUACAAUAACCAAUAGGGAAAUAUAUGGUGCCACUUAAUGACAAAGCAAAAAGAAAAGGACAUGUAUUUCAAUGAACACAACAGUAAGUCUUCCCUCGUCAAUUCAACCAACAUACAAAUUAUAUGAUAAAAAGAAAAAAACUAUGAUACAAAAAUAUGGAGGCAUUAUAGCACUAAUUACACUUAUUCAAGUUGGUUACUGUGGUAAGCAAGCAUAUUUAGUGGGGCCAGUAAACCAGAAAAAUGAUGGGAGAAAAGCUAGAGGGUUCAUCUUCAAGACAAUGAUCAUUUCACUUAAGUGAUCCACAAUGGAACAAAGAGAGAAUGGGACACAAAAAGCACCAAAAAUUAACGCCCAAGAAAGGAAAACAAGGAAAUCGGGAUAAGAUGAACUAUAAAAAGGAAGUGAAGAUCUGAAUGCUAUUUAGGAGAACAAUAACGUAGGGCCAACUUAGCAGAUUUUUUUUCAAAGAAAAAGAGAGCUUUAUUGUUACCUGUUAAAUAUAUCCACAUUCUUGUUCAUAAUAGUUAUGUUACCAGCUAUCUAUGUAUUAAUGUUAUUCCCAAAUUGGUUACCCAAUAAUCUCUACUUUGCAGAACUAGAAGCAUCCAAAAAAUUCUCAAUGGUCACAACAGCUUUCUAAGACCAAAUUUGA